This 219-nucleotide long non-coding RNA is filed under the name Musa acuminata (dwarf banana). RNAcentral's name for it is "long non-coding RNA (MACU_LNC011730)". Lineage: Eukaryota; Viridiplantae; Streptophyta; Magnoliopsida; Zingiberales; Musaceae. The record is from RNAcentral.
GAAUGAUGCCAAAUUAUGUACCCAUAGGUAGUUUUGAUAUAUCUGGAUAAACAUUUUCUAUGUUGACUAUAAUUAUGAGUUAUAGUCUACAGCAUGUGUAGUCAUAAUUAUCGCAUUCGCACUCUAUGAGUUACUUGGUUUUAUCUAUGACUUGUAUAGAUAAAGCUAUUUGUAGAAACUUUACACAUAAUCAAUUUACUUUUACUUACAAAAAAAAAA